This 31-nucleotide non-coding RNA is filed under the name Mus musculus (house mouse). The record is from RNAcentral. Lineage: Eukaryota; Metazoa; Chordata; Mammalia; Rodentia; Muridae.
UGAUUGAUGCCCAAGACAGAUAAUGCUUCAA